GUCAAGUUACAAAGGGCUCACGGUGGUACACA
This 32-nucleotide ribosomal RNA is filed under the name uncultured cyanobacterium. RNAcentral's name for it is "partial 23S ribosomal RNA". Lineage: Bacteria; Bacillati; Cyanobacteriota. The record is from RNAcentral.